This 382-nucleotide ribosomal RNA is filed under the name uncultured eukaryote. RNAcentral's name for it is "SSU rRNA". It matches the Rfam family "Eukaryotic small subunit ribosomal RNA", at positions 567 to 990 of the family's 1831-position model. The record is from RNAcentral.
CCAGCAGCCGCGGUAAUUCCAGCUCCAAUAGCGUAUAUUAAAGUUGUUGCAGUUAAAACGCUCGUAGUCUGAUGUAAUGGGGACUGGUGUGGGGAGCAGCGAUGCUCUGUGCAGCGGUCCUCAUCAGGGGGCCAGCAAUGGCCCAGUUUACUUUGAGGAAAUUAGAGUGUUCAAAGCAGGCGAUUGCUUGAAUACUGCAGCAUGGAAUAAUGGAAUAGGACUCGCGUCUUAUUUUGUUGGUUUGGAGAUGUGAGUAAUGAUGAAUAGGGACAGUUGGGGGCAUUGGUAUUCAGUAGUCAGAGGUGAAAUUCUUGGAUUUACUGAAGACUAACUAGUGCGAAAGCAUUUGCCAAGGAUGUUUUCAUUGAUCAAGAACGAAAGU